UCUCACACACCCACACACACACACAUUUGCGUGGCUAUCUUUGUGGGGACUUUCCAUUGACUUCCAUUCAUUUCUGAACUCUUUCUCUAAUCGGAACCAAAACUCAAAUCACACCUUAGUCCUAAAUCUGACCCUUGACCCACAAACAGUGUUACAAAUGCACACACACAGGCUGCAGCGCCCCCUACUGGGCGGACUUUGACUGGUCCGUUUAUGAAUGAAGCAGCCCAAUCAGAACACACCAGAACCUGUGGACUCAAGUCAGAACUCUGAAUGAAAGAAGAGCUGGAUCCAUUUCAGGUCAGAACCCGUGUCCCUGCUGGACCGGGCCGGUUCCGCUCAGAACCAGGGCACCCAGCAUUCAUGGAGGCGGCUGGUGGGGGUCCAGCAGACGGUUCUGAUGAUGGCGGCUCCAGUAAACAUCAGAACCAAACCACCACAGAGCUUUCCAGAACAGAACCAGCUGAUCAACAAAAAAAAAAACAACAGACAGAAUAAAGGAGCAGAAGCUGCUGGCUCGUCCAAUCACAGGAGCAGAAGCUGCUGGCUCCUCCAAUCACAGGAGCAGAAGCUGCUGGCUCGUCCAAUCACAGGAGCAGAAGCUGCUGGCUCGUCCAAUCACAGGAGCAGAAGCUUUCAAACCCUAACCGGGCCAGAGGGAACGAUCGGAUCCAGCAGCUUCUGGAAACUUAAGAUGAGACAGAAAUUCACUGUAAGUGAACAAUGACUCUUGGUUAUUAAACAGCUGCCUUACAUACAUUAGAUUAUUUGUUUUCCAGUAGUCAACAUAGAGACGUUUAAUCUUGUAUAAAAUGUCCUUAUUAUGCCAGAUUAUACAUUUGUGAGGAGAAUAUUUGUGUUUGUAGAUCCAAACAUGGUUUGGACAGUUUGACUGGGAUUUUCUCAGGAUUAAAGUUACAGAGCAGAAGAAAAUCAAUUGAGAGAGAAUCUAGAAUUAGGACUGAAAUUCCAACACGAGGCAGAAUGACAGGUUUAAUCCAUCAGACCUAUAGUUUUGUUUAAAGUAGAAAAGUCUGGGAAAUUUAAAUCCCAUAUCAACUGGGUUCAUGAUAACAGACUUUUUAAUGUAACAGAUUUUGUGCUUCUAAAGAUAAUUGAAUAAUAAUAAUAACUGGUCAAAACUUUUACAGGUGUUGUUGUCUACAAAGAGAGGAGAGGCCAAAUAAACCAAACUAGAAGCCCUUCACAUCUGUUCAACCUGGUUCUGGUAUCAGCAGGAGAUUCCAACACAUCUGCUUUUAUCAUUUUUGUUGAUGGUGAUUCCGAAGUAUACAACAUUCUGCUUUAUGUUGCUUAUAGGAUAGAACAGAAUCCUUUGUAGCAAAAAGUUCAAAUAUAUUGACAUUUAGAAAGAAACUAGAAUCUGAAUAAUAUGAAAGGCUGGAGGAACUUGUUCAGAGUAGUGCUGUAGUGACUGAGACCGGUCUUGGUCUCCAGACUUUUUGAUGGUCUCGGGAUUUUAUUUCAAGACCACAACUGUGAAAAUGUCACUAAAUUGCCAGCAUAGUAUCAGUUUAUUUGUCAACAUCCUUGUUUUUACUGGGUGCAAAACAUACCGAUUAAAAUCAAAGCAAUAACGCCACUUAAUAAUGACGUGUUUCUGUUUCCGCUGUCAGCCAUCGCCUCCCCUUUAACUCGCGCGCGAUAUAUGUGCCUUAUACAGAAUUCCACUACUGUAAUUGCCUUAUUUGUUUCUGAUUAAUUUGUU
Long non-coding RNA from Xiphophorus maculatus (southern platyfish), 1729 nucleotides. RefSeq lists it as uncharacterized. The transcript is spliced from 3 exons. The record is from RefSeq and is a predicted model, not a curated record. NCBI's taxonomy places the organism in Eukaryota, Metazoa, Chordata, Actinopteri, Cyprinodontiformes, Poeciliidae.